Molecule: ribosomal RNA, 435 nt
Filed under: uncultured Gammaproteobacteria bacterium
Lineage: Bacteria; Pseudomonadati; Pseudomonadota; Gammaproteobacteria
Description: bacterial SSU rRNA
Rfam family: Bacterial small subunit ribosomal RNA
Source: RNAcentral
AUCCAGAACUGUUUGACUUAGAGUACACGUAGAGGGUGGCGGUAAUUUCCUUGUGUAGCGGUGAAACUGCGUAGAUAUAGGAGGAACAUCAGUGGCGAAGGCGGCACCUGGAACUGAUACUGACGCUGUAGGUGCGAAAGCGUGGGGGAGCAAACAGGAUUUAGAUACCCUGGUAGUCCACGCCGUAAACGAUGUCUACUAGCCGUUUGGAAGACUUGAUCUUUUAGUGGCGCAGUUAACGCAAUAAGUAGACCGCCUGGGGAGUACGGCCGCAAGGUUAAAACUCAAAUGAAUUGACGGGGGCCCGCACAAGCGGUGGAGCAUGUGGUUUAAUUCGACGCAACGCGAAGAACCUUACCAGGUUCUUGACAUCCUCGGAACUUUCUAGAGAUAGAUUGGUGCCUUCGGGAACCGAGAGACAGGUGCUGCAUGGCU